This 458-nucleotide ribosomal RNA is filed under the name uncultured bacterium. RNAcentral describes it as "bacterial SSU rRNA". It matches the Rfam family "Bacterial small subunit ribosomal RNA", at positions 346 to 796 of the family's 1533-position model. The record is from RNAcentral.
AGGCAGCAGUUGGGAAUCUUCCGCAAUGGACGAAAGUCUGACGGAGCAACGCCGCGUGAGCGAAGAAGGCCUUCGGGUCGUAAAGCUCUGUUGUUAGGGAAGAACAAGUAACGCAGUAACUGGCGUUACCGUGACGGUACCUAACGAGAAAGCCACGGCUAACUACGUGCCAGCAGCCGCGGUAAUACGUAGGUGGCAAGCGUUGUCCGGAAUUAUUGGGCGUAAAGCGCGCGCAGGCGGUUCCUUAAGUCUGAUGUGAAAGCCCACGGCUCAACCGUGGAGGGUCAUUGGAAACUGGGGGACUUGAGUGCAGAAGAGGAGAGCGGAAUUCCACGUGUAGCGGUGAAAUGCGUAGAGAUGUGGAGGAACACCAGUGGCGAAGGCGGCUCUCUGGUCUGUAACUGACGCUGAGGCGCGAAAGCGUGGGGAGCAAACAGGAUUAGAUACCCUAGUAGUCC